This 497-nucleotide ribosomal RNA is filed under the name uncultured bacterium. Its description in RNAcentral is "partial 16S ribosomal RNA". It matches the Rfam family "Bacterial small subunit ribosomal RNA", at positions 28 to 507 of the family's 1533-position model. The record is from RNAcentral.
GAUGAACGCUGGCGGCGUGCCUAAUACAUGCAAGUCGAGCGAACAGACGAGGAGCUUGCUCCUUUGACGUUAGCGGCGGACGGGUGAGUAACACGUGGAUAACCUACCUAUAUGUCUGGGAUAACUUCGGGAAACCGGAGCUAAUACCGGAUAAUAUAUUGAACCGCAUGGUUCAAUAGUGAAAGACGGUUUUGCUGUCACUUAUAGAUGCUUCCGCGCCGCAUUAGCUAGUUGGUAAGGUAACGGCUUACCAAGGCUACGAUGCGUAGCCGACCUGAGAGGGUGAUAGGCCACACUGGAACUGAGACACGGUCCAGACGCCUACGGGAGGCAGCAGUAGGGAAUCUUCCGCAAUGGGCGAAAGCCUGACGGAGCAACGCCGCGUGAGUGAUGAAGGUCUUCGGAUCGUAAAACUCUGUUAUUAGGGAAGAACAAAUGUGUAAGUAAAUAUGGACGUCUUGACGGUACCUAAUCAAAAAGCCACGGCUAACUACGUG